Molecule: ribosomal RNA, 407 nt
Filed under: uncultured bacterium
Lineage: Bacteria
Description: bacterial SSU rRNA
Rfam family: Bacterial small subunit ribosomal RNA
Source: RNAcentral
UGGGGAAUAUUGGACAAUGGGCGAAAGCCUGAUCCAGCUACGCCGCGUGAGUGAUUGAAGGCCUUCGGGUUGUAAAGCUCUGUCGUGAGGGAAGAAAAUUUGACUGUACCUCACAAGAAAGCACCGGCUAACUCCGUGCCAGCAGCCGCGGUAAUACGGAGGGUGCAAGCGUUGCUCGGAAUCACUGGGCGUAAAGCGUGCGCAGGCGGCUAGUUAAGUCAGAUGUGAAAGCCCCAGGCUCAACCUGGGAAUAGCAUCUGAAACUGGCAAGCUUGAGGCUGAGAGAGGGAAGUGGAAUUCCUGGUGUAGAGGUGAAAUUCGUUGAUAUCAGGAGGAACACCGGCGGCGAAGGCGGCUUCCUGGCUCAGUUCUGACGCUCAUGCACGAAAGCGUGGGGAGCAAACAGG